UCUAUGUCGGCGACCGGCGCACGGGUGCGUAACGCGUAUGCAACCUACCCAUUACAGGGGGAUAACACUGAGAAAUCGGUACUAAUACCCCAUAACAUCCAGGGAGGCAUCUUCUUGGGUUGAAAACUCCGGUGGUAAUGGAUGGGCAUGCGUUGUAUUAGUUAGUUGGUGGGGUAACGGCUCACCAAGACAACGAUACAUAGGGGGACUGAGAGGUUAACCCUCCACAUUGGUACUGAGACACGGACCAAACUCCUACGGAAGGCAGCAG
Molecule: ribosomal RNA, 271 nt
Filed under: uncultured bacterium
Lineage: Bacteria
Description: partial 16S ribosomal RNA
Rfam family: Bacterial small subunit ribosomal RNA
Source: RNAcentral